AAUAAAGUAAGCUAAAUUACUAAGCUUUUGGGUUCAUACCCCAAAUAUGAUUAAAAAAUCCUUUAUUA
This 68-nucleotide transfer RNA is filed under the name Rhipicephalus simus. RNAcentral describes it as "tRNA-Met". The record is from RNAcentral. Lineage: Eukaryota; Metazoa; Arthropoda; Arachnida; Ixodida; Ixodidae.